CCCACCAUGGCCCAGUGGCAGCGCGCGGAGCCUAUAGCCCCGAGGCCACUCGAUCGAAACGAGUUGCCGCUA
This is a non-coding RNA of Macrolepiota fuliginosa MF-IS2, 72 nucleotides long. Lineage: Eukaryota; Fungi; Basidiomycota; Agaricomycetes; Agaricales; Agaricaceae. The record is from the annotation of a GenBank genome assembly.